RNAcentral lists this ribosomal RNA (319 nucleotides) under uncultured eukaryote. RNAcentral describes it as "partial 18S ribosomal RNA". It matches the Rfam family "Eukaryotic small subunit ribosomal RNA", at positions 1470 to 1796 of the family's 1831-position model. The record is from RNAcentral.
CCCUUAGAUGUUCUGGGCCGCACGCGCGCUACACUGAAUGGAUCAACGUGUUUUCCCUUCCCGAGAGGGACGGGUAACCCGCUGAACCCCAUUCGUGGUAGGGAUCGGAGCUUGCAAUUGUUCUCCGUGAACCAGGAAUUCCCAGUAAGCGCAAGUCAUAAGCUUGCAUUGAUUACGUCCCUGCCCUUUGUACACACCGCCCGUCGCACCUACCGAUUGAAUGGUCCGGUGAAAUCUCGGGACGGCGGCUUGGUCGCUUGCGUCCGACUGCUGAAACUUGAUUAAACCAUAUCAUUUAGAGGAAGGUGAAGUCGUAACA